This 809-nucleotide ribosomal RNA is filed under the name uncultured archaeon. RNAcentral's name for it is "bacterial SSU rRNA". It matches the Rfam family "Archaeal small subunit ribosomal RNA", at positions 85 to 879 of the family's 1478-position model. The record is from RNAcentral.
ACUGCUCAGUAACACGUGGCUAACUGCCCUUAGGACGAGAACAACCCCCGGGAAACUGGGGCUAACUCUCGAUAGGCGAAGAACUCUGGAAUGAGUCUUCACCUAAAUAGUUCAGCGUUACGCUCGUUGAACCGCCUAAGGAUGAGGCCGCGACCGAUCAGGUCGUUGGUGAGGUAAUGGCUCACCAAGCCUUUUACCGGUGCGGGCCGUGAGAGCGGGAGCCCGGAGAUGGGCACUGAGACAAGGGCCCAGGCCCUACGGGGCGCAGCAGUCACGGAAACUUUGCAAUACACGAAAGUGUGACAGGGCUAUCCCGAGUGCCAUCCGCUGAGGAAGGCUUUUACCCAGUCUAGAAAGCUGGGGGAAUAAGGAGAGGGCAAGUCUGGUGUCAGCCGCCGCGGUAAUACCAGCUCUCCGAGUGGUGUGGAUGUUUAUUGGGCCUAAAGCAUACGUAGCUGGCUAAGUUAGUCCCUUGUUAAAUCCACCGAAUUAAUCGUUGGAUUGCGGGGGAUACUGCUUGGCUAGGGGACGAGAGAGGCAGACGGUAUUUUCGGGGUAGGGGUGAAAUCCUAUAAUCCCGGGAAGACCACCAGUGGCGAAGGCUGUCUGCUAGAACGCGCCCGACGGUGAGGGAUGAAAGCUGGGGGAGCGAACCGGAUUAGAUACCCGGGUAGUCCCAGCUGUAAACGAUGCGGGCUAGGUGUUUGGACGGCCACGUGCCGUUCUAGUGCCGCAGGGAAGCUGUUAAGCCUGCCGCCUGGGGAGUACGAUCGCAAGAUCGAAACUUAAAGGAAUUGGCGGGGGAGCAC